CUUGAGUCUUUGAAAAACCAACAGUUUCCAUAGGUCAGUUCUGACAUAAACAUAAGAAAUAUUUAGGUCAAGCUACGGAGCUGAUGGUGGUCGCUCAAUAAAAAGAUGUGCCCUGAACGAAUGCUUCCAUUUUUCAGAAGAGCAAUAUGUGGCUACAGAGUGCAUUUCCCAAGCUUACACGAUUUGAAGAACAAAAUGGUGACAUCUCGCAGACUUGAUGCCUUAGAAGAUAACAAUAAGUUAGCAGAACAGCUGGAAACUUGGAAGCCUUAGAAAGAAAGAGUCACAAAGGGGAAAAGCCCCCAAAUUUGACUACAUAUGUGUUCAAGUCCUUGGCUGACCCCCAAAUUAUGCAGGCACAAAAGAGAACGUUCACCUAAAAAGCACAAGAAUUCCUAAGAACAAAGCAAAGAUAUGAUAAGCUACAUAAUACAGGGAAGGAAGAAUUUGUAGUUUGAAUGUAGGCAAGCGCAGUAUCGACUAGAACAAAGAAACAAAGGAUCACAAAAUAGACUAUAGAGAUGCAGCAAGGUAUUACCUGCCAUGCCCAGUUUCUGCAUCUCAAGACAAAUAUCCUCAGAUAUUUACAUCUGGUAACUAAUUUGAUUCUCAGAAUGACCUUAUGAGGUCAAGUAGCAACAUCACCAUCCACAUUUUACACGUGUGGACAUGGAAAACUCUUGGGUUUUUCUUUCCCCUAGAAAUUGCUAGUAAAGUUUAUACCACUUAGAUGGGAGAACUUAAAAAUACACAACCAUAAUGAAUGCAGAUUUGCCUGAAGCAAAUUUAUGGGCAUUUUAUUUGGCAAAUAAUAUGAGUAACAGCUUUCACAGCUCUAAAACAAACACAUAUUAACAUUGGUAAUAUUUCUGUGAUCUGAGAAGAUAAAUAAACUGAAAUAUAUUAGACCUACA
RNAcentral lists this long non-coding RNA (914 nucleotides) under Felis catus (domestic cat). Its description in RNAcentral is "lncRNA (ENSFCAG00000047761.1)". Lineage: Eukaryota; Metazoa; Chordata; Mammalia; Carnivora; Felidae. The record is from RNAcentral.